RNAcentral lists this ribosomal RNA (253 nucleotides) under uncultured bacterium. Its description in RNAcentral is "partial 16S ribosomal RNA". It matches the Rfam family "Bacterial small subunit ribosomal RNA", at positions 524 to 776 of the family's 1533-position model. The record is from RNAcentral.
UACGUAGGGUGCAAGCGUUGUCCGGAAUCAUUGGGCGUAAAGCGCGCGUAGGCGGCCCGAUAAGUCCGCUGUAAAAGUCAACGGCUCAACUGUUGAAAGCCGGUGGAUACUGUCGGGCUAGAGUACGGAAGAGGCAAGUGGAAUUCCUGGUGUAGCGGUGAAAUUCGUAGAUAUUAGGAAGAACACCGGUGGCGAAGGCGGCCCACUGGUCCGGUACUGACGCUGAGGUGCGAAAGCGUGGGGAGCAAACAGG